ACCAUCUCAAAGUUUUCGGAUGUUUAUGUUUUGUUUCCACCUUAACACAAAAUAGAAAGAAGUUGGCCCCGCGAACAAGCAAAUGUAUAUUUUUAGGCUAUCCAAAUAAUGUAAAAGGGUAUAGGGUAUAUGAUCUUUGUGCACAAAAGGUCCUGAUAUCAAGGGACAUUGUUUUUCAUGAGCAUGUGUUUCCAUUUCAUUCAUCAAGCAACAACAUGCAGUCUGACGCAUUUUAUCAAACACAUAGUAUGCAUGAUGAAUACAUGGAAGAUUUUGAUGCUUAUUCACCAUAUCAGCAUUACCAACAGCACACAACACCUAAAUUAUGUUCUCCUGAGCCUUCAUCAUCAUCUGAAACACCUUCUUCAUUGAAUUCAAAUGACAUUUCCCUCAAUCCACCCUUCAAUGACAGCAUAUCACCUACUGCAGACAGUUUUAGUGUUGAUAUGAGUACUUCUCAAGAAGCAGUAGCACCAACUAGAAAAAGUACAAGACAAAAACAACCUCCUAAGUACCUUGAUGCAUAUUAUGUUGACAUACCUUCACAAUCUAAUUCUGUUACCCUUCAUCCAAUAACCAAGCACCUAUCAACUAAACAACUCUCACCUGCACAUAAGGCAUUUGCUAUUGCUUUGUCCCAUAUUCAUGAGCUAAAUUCUUGCCAUCAAGCUAUAAACUAUUCUCAUUGGAGAGAAGCAAUGGACCUGGAACUGAAAGCUUUGCAAGACAAUGGUACAUGGCCCAUAGUACCUCUGCCUUCAAAUUCACAUGUAAUUGGCUGCAAGUGGGUAUACAAGAUUAAAAUGAAGGCAAAUGGUGAAAUUGAAAGAUAUAAGGCAAGAUUAGUUGCCAAAGGGUACAGCCAAGUUGUAGGAUUUGAUUACCAGGAGACUUUUAGUCCUGUAGCAAAACAGUCCACUGUUAGAGUGUUUUUUGCUCUAGCUGCUGCAAAUGGUUGGUCUUUAUCACAAUUAGAUAUUAAUAAUGCCUUCUUUAAUGGUGAUCUAGAUGAAAAAGUAUAUAUGGAGAUUGCACAGGGUUAUGCUGUCUAGGGGGAGUGUCCAAAAGGAUCCAAACUUGUCUGCAAACUACACAAAUCCUUAUAUGGUUUAAAACAAGCUUCCAAACAGUGGAAUGCCAAACUUACUGCUUCACUUUUGCAGUUUGGAUUUACUCAAUCAUCAACAGAUCAUUCUUUAUUUACUUUGAAGACUCUUACUGGAAAUUUCAUUGCUCUUCUCGUGUAUGUAGAUGACAUACUCAUUGGGAGUACAUCUAUUAAUGCUGCAUUAGAAGUGAAAGAGUUUUUAAACUCAAAAUUCAAGCUCAAGGACCUUGGAGUUGUCAAAUACUUCCUUGGACUUGAAAUCAUUGAUAUACCAGUAGGAAUCUCUAUAAGUUAAAGAAAGUACACUUUAGAUCUCCUUGAAGAACAAGGGAUGUUGGGAGCUAAACCUACAAACACUCCCAUUGACUAUAAUCAUAAAUUGUAGAAAGCACAAGAUGGAGAAUUAUUGAAGGAUCCAACAUGUUACAGACAGCUUAUAGGCAAACUACUAUAUCUUACUUUUAGUAGGCCUGACAUAUCUUAUGCAGUACAAACAUUAUCACAGUUCAUGGACAGACCUAGUCAGAUUCAUUUGAUGGUAGCUCACAGAGUAUUAAAGUAUUUGAAAAAUGCUCCUGGACAAGGAAUUCUAAUGAAAAGAAAAUCAAAUCUCAAGAUCACAACUUACUCAGACAAUGAUUGGGCUAGAUGUCCUCGUAGUAGGAAAUCAAUCACAGGAUAUUGUGUGUUUAUUGGAGACACUCUUGUCAAUUGGAAAUCCAAAAAGCAAGCUGUUGUUGCUCGCAGUUCUGCUGAAGCAAAGUAUCGUUCCAUGGCUUCCACCUGUUGUGAAUUAAUGUGGCUGAAGUACUUGCUGGCUGAUUUUAAGAUAGACCAUGAUGAUCCUAUAGACUUGUAUUCAGAUAGUCAAUCUGCCAUUCAUAUAAGCAAGAAUCCUGUGUUCCAUGCACAAACAAAACACAUCGAGAUGGAUUGCCACUUCAUCCGAGAAAAGGUGUUGGUAGGUACAAUUAAACCUCUUCACAUAUCCACUGAUCUGCAAGUAGUUGAUAUUUUUACCAAGGCUUUGUUACCAAAUCAAUUUUAUAAGCUACUAGGCAAGAUGAGUGUUCAUGAUAUUCACACCUCCUCUUGAGGGGGAGUGACAAACAGGAUCCAAGAAUAAGUCCAGAAUUCUUCAAGACUCGAGUGAGAGUGCUGCAGAAAAGAACAGAAGAAAGAAGUUCAAG
This 2298-nucleotide long non-coding RNA is filed under the name Theobroma cacao (cacao). Its description in RNAcentral is "long non-coding RNA (TCAC_LNC004033)". The record is from RNAcentral. Lineage: Eukaryota; Viridiplantae; Streptophyta; Magnoliopsida; Malvales; Malvaceae.